Molecule: long non-coding RNA, 1997 nt
Filed under: Homo sapiens (human)
Lineage: Eukaryota; Metazoa; Chordata; Mammalia; Primates; Hominidae
Description: long non-coding RNA NONHSAT118913.2
Source: RNAcentral
AAAAGGCAGCGCUGGGGGUGAGGAGCUCUGGUGAGCCCCUUCGAACCAGGGCUGAUGGGGGACCUCCACCAGGACCCCGGCCCUGCACGGACCCUCACAGUCAGGACAAGGGGGGCCAGAUGGGGGGCACAAGGCCCCACACCUCGAUGGCAUUGGGCGCACUCACUACCUGCUAAACCUUCCUGCUUCACUGCGUCAUCAUUUUAGGGUCUCAAAAGGCCCCAAAGAGGGCAGGAGGAAGCCAGGCAUGUCUUUUAUGAGGAAAUGGGAGGGAGUCAGCUCGGCGACCACCAAUGCCUACCUGGGCCGGUCAGUCAAUACACAAAACACACUAGGGGCCGGGCACAGUGCUCCCGCCUGGAAUCCCAGCACUUUGGGAGGCCAAGGCGGGUGGAUCACCUGAGGCCAGGAAGACCAGCCUGGCCAACAUGGCGAAACCCCAUCUCUACUAAAAAUAGAGAAAAAAAUUAGCCGUGCAUGACAGCAUGUGCCUGUAAUUCCAGCUACUCGGGAGGCUGAGGCAGGAGAAUCGUUUGAACCCAGGAGGCGGAGGUUGCAGUGACCCGAGAUAGUACCACUGCACUCCAGCCUGGGCGACAGAGCAAGACUCCACCUCAAAAAAACAACAAAAACAAACAAACAAACAAACACCAGAACAAAGCGCUCCAAGGACAGGCCGCUCUCCCGAUUACUAAACAGUCACAUUUAGCAACCCAAGGACUAGGCAACGCUAGCAUCUGUUUCUGGGAGAGGAAACCUGAAGCCCAGAGAAGUAAAGGCACUUGCCCACGAGCACACAGCCAGGCCUGGCAGAGCUAAGAUUCAGACCCAGGGCUCAGGCUCUGAGAGCUUCUUGCUGUAUGCACUACCUGGGCCGACUCCUCCAGAGCAGACCCUUUGUGUCCCCUAUCUUAUGGGACCAUGCCGUCAGGAGGCAGCUGGCCAGGCCUCCUUGUGCCUCUCCGAGAGGCCACCUGGAGAGAAGAGGCCAGGCUGGGCUCAGGCAACAGCGGGAGCCCACUGGACUCCUUCAGUGUCCAAUCACCCUUCCCCAGUCCCCAAGGCCACCUCUCUGCCUUGGUUUCCUCCUCGCUCCUGCACCCUGCCCUGCCAAUCUCCAUCUGCCUCUGCUCACAGCUCCCUCCGCCUGGAGAACUCUUCUACAGAUGGCUCCAGGUCUCGGUUCCACUGCUGCCUCCUCCAGAAGCCCUCCCUGACCACCUGCCCCUCUGCUGUUUUCUCCCUCCCUGUAACUGUCUGGAGAUUCUGCUGGCUGACUCGUCUGCCUCGUCACCCAUGGGGGCCCCCAGAGGGAGCUGCGCCUCAUCCUCCCCGACUUACCACGAGCUGGGCGCUCCUCUGCAGUUCCAAGGCCUGGGCCGCCUGCUGCUGCAGGUACAGGAACUCCUGCUGCCGCAGGAAGUGCUGCUGUGAGAAGAGCUGCAGCUGCUGGGCGUGGUGCAGGGGGCUGCGGCCCGGCGGGUACAGGGCGGGCCAGAGGGGCGGUACGGUGGCCCGCUCCAUCAGCUCCGCUGCAGGGACAGAGACAGUGCGCUGCACCUGCGGCCUGAUGCUCCACCACCAUGCCCAUUACGAGGGGAAGCUGAAGCCAGAGAGGGGCCACACCCACACAGUGGGGAGCUGGGCUCUCUGCGGGCCCCCGGCUGCUCCCCAGGGGCCAGGAAGUUUGUCCUGUCCUCCAUGGGCCACGUGUGCACCCCAGGCCCGGGGAACACAGCCCUGUCCACACCCGGGGUGGGAUGUUCCCACAGCCUCGCAACCAGAGCAGGUCAGCACGCAGACACGUACGAGGACCACUGUGAGGACCUAGGGAACGCCUUCUCCCACCCCUCCCAGUGGUCUACAAGGUGGAUUCCUGGGGAGGCGGUGGCGCCAGGUAAGGGGAAUCCCAGCCCCCACCCAGGGCUGCCUGUCUCGCUUCUCUUUAUGGAGUUUUUGGGCAGGAGCUCAUUGCAACAAGGACCCCAAGGCUUUAC